Podarcis lilfordi (Lilford's wall lizard) is the source of this 71-nucleotide non-coding RNA. Lineage: Eukaryota; Metazoa; Chordata; Lepidosauria; Squamata; Lacertidae. The record is from the annotation of a GenBank genome assembly.
GAAAGCUCAGUCGGUACAGCACUAGACUCUUAAUCUCAGGGUUAUGGGUUUGAGCUCCACAUUGGGCAACA